CUUUUGCACUCGAAUUUUGGUUGUUGUUUUAAAAAUCUUUUUUUAGAACAACAUUAAAAGGGAAUUAGGUUUAAUGCCUAAGCUGUACCCGCAACUGUAAGCUACAAAGCUUGUUAUUAUCUACAUACCACUGAGUUAAUUGAUUUCUAUCAAUGUCUUGGGAAGGUGAAUAACAAGACGCAAGCCAGGAGACCUGCCACAUUCGUUAGUAACAA
Molecule: non-coding RNA, 215 nt
Filed under: Flavobacterium sp.
Lineage: Bacteria; Pseudomonadati; Bacteroidota; Flavobacteriia; Flavobacteriales; Flavobacteriaceae
Also listed under: 1 other name
Source: RNAcentral